GUGGUAGCUCAGUGGUUAGGACAUUGGUCUUCUCAUUGUAAGGUCUUGAGUUCAAAUCCCAGUACCACA
Ameiurus melas (black bullhead) is the source of this 69-nucleotide non-coding RNA. Lineage: Eukaryota; Metazoa; Chordata; Actinopteri; Siluriformes; Ictaluridae. The record is from the annotation of a GenBank genome assembly.